RNAcentral lists this unclassified non-coding RNA (232 nucleotides) under Hevea brasiliensis (rubber tree). The record is from RNAcentral. Lineage: Eukaryota; Viridiplantae; Streptophyta; Magnoliopsida; Malpighiales; Euphorbiaceae.
AUAACUUUAAAAAGCAACCAACAGAGAGCUUUUCAGUUUUUCACUUUUCCGUCAUUGGAAACCAAAAGAGAAACCUCCUUAACCUGCCAAUAUCCUCUAGUCUCCUCAUUAGUCAAAUCUCAACAAAAAUUUCACCAUUCCAUCUCUUCCAUUGAUCAAAUACUGCCUCUGAUCACAUAUAAUCCGAUUUUUCGAGCAGACAAACACGAGACAUGAAAUCAAUGAAGGGAAG